This 254-nucleotide ribosomal RNA is filed under the name uncultured prokaryote. Its description in RNAcentral is "partial 16S ribosomal RNA". It matches the Rfam family "Bacterial small subunit ribosomal RNA", at positions 522 to 775 of the family's 1533-position model. The record is from RNAcentral.
AAUACAGGGGUCUCAAGCGUUGUUCGGAUUCAUUGGGCGUAAAGGGUGCGUAGGCGGCGCGGUAAGUCGGGUGUGAAAUCUCGAGGCUUAACUCCGAAACUGCAUUCGAUACUGCCGUGCUUGAGGACUGGAGAGGAGACUGGAAUUUACGGUGUAGCGGUGAAAUGCGUAGAUAUCGUAAGGAAGACCAGUGGCGAAGGCGGGUCUCUGGACAGUUCCUGACGCUGAGGCACGAAGGUCAGGGGAGCAAGCGG